This is a long non-coding RNA of Oncorhynchus tshawytscha (Chinook salmon), 916 nucleotides long. The record is from Ensembl. NCBI's taxonomy places the organism in Eukaryota, Metazoa, Chordata, Actinopteri, Salmoniformes, Salmonidae.
AGAGAGAGGGACAACAAACAGAUCCAGAUAGAGAGGGACAACAAACAGAUCCAGAGAGGGAGGGACAACAAACAGAUCCAGAGAGAGAGAGAGAGGGACAACAAACAGAUCCAGAGAGAGAGGCAGGGACAACAAACAGAUCCAGAGAGAGAGAGGGACAACAAACAGAUCCAGAGAGGGAGGGACAACAAACAGAUCCAGAGAGAGAGAGAGAGGGACAACAAACAGAUCCAGAGAGAGAGAGAGAGGGACAACAAACAGAUCCAGAGAGAGGCAGGGACAACAAACAGAUCCAGAGAGAGAGAGAGGGACAACAAACUGAACCAGAGAGAGAGGCAGGGACAACAAACAGAUCCAGAGAGAGAGAGAGGGACAACAAAUAGAUCCAGAGAGAGAGAGAGAGAGAGACAACAAACAGAUCCAGAGAGAGAGAGACAACAAACAGAUCCAGAGAGAGAGGGACAACAAACAGAUCCAGAGAGAGAGACAACAAACAGAUCCAGAGAGAGAGGGACAACAAUCAGAUCGAGAGAGAGAGACAACAAACAGAUCCAGAGAGAGAGAGAGAGAGACAACAAACAGAUCCAGAGAGAGAGAGACAACAAACAGAUCCAGAGAGAGAGACAACAAACAGAUCCAGAGAGGGACAACAAACAGAUCCAGAGAGAGAGAGAGAGACAACAAACAGAUCCAGAGAGAGAGGGACAACAAACAGAUCCAGAGAGAGAGAGAGAGAGAGACAACAAACAGAUCCAGAGAGAGAGAGACAACAAACAGAUCCAGAGAGAGAGAGACAACAAACAGAUCCAGAGAGGGACAACAAACAGAUCCAGAGAGAGAGAGAGAGACAACAAACAGAUCCAGAGAGAGAGGGACAACAAACAGAUCCAGAGAGAGAGAGAGAGAGAGAGAGACA